UACGAACUGUGCAAACGUUAUUCGGAAUCACUGGGCUUACAGGGUGCGUAGGCGGUCUGUUAAGUAGGGUGUGAAAGCCCCCGGCUCAACCGGGGAAUUGCGCCCUAAACUGGCGGGCUGGAGUGAGAUAGGGGUGUGCGGAACUUCCGGUGGAGCGGUGAAAUGUGUUGAUAUCGGAAGGAACGCCGGUGGCGAAAGCGGCACACUGGAUCUCAACUGACGCUGAGGCACGAAAGCCAGGGGAGCGAACGGG
RNAcentral lists this ribosomal RNA (253 nucleotides) under uncultured bacterium. RNAcentral describes it as "partial 16S ribosomal RNA". It matches the Rfam family "Bacterial small subunit ribosomal RNA", at positions 524 to 776 of the family's 1533-position model. The record is from RNAcentral.